GGGACGGUUUCCUGGUGGAGAUUAAUCAGCCCCAACUCGACUAGCUAUGAUCGCCGCCGCCGCCGCCGCCCCCAUCUCCUGCUCUCGCCACCGCCGGAUGCUGAGGCUGCUGCCGAGUCCCUUCUGUGGGGCCGCCGGUUCCUCUGGCCACCUCCCCCCCUCCUCCUUCCUCGGCAACUCCCCCCCGAGAGUUGCCUUCUCCUCGGCCUCGGCCUCCGCCUCCUCCCCGGGUCGAAGCCCUCGUCGGACGGCCAUGGCCACCGCUUCCACGGCGACCACGGACGAGAGCCCAGCUGCUGCCGCCGACCCGCCCCUCCCGCCUCCGCCGCCCCGGUCCCAGGUUAGGAUCCGAGGCCGAUCCCUCUCUGCCUUUGCCUCCCGAUCUUGCGGCUGUUCAUUCAUGCGACUUCAUCUGCAAUCUGUGGCGCAUGAAUCGACGAGGUUACGAUUCCUGUUCAGUUUUUCCGGAUGAUGUUCGCAAGUAGAUUCGAUCUCAGGCUGCAAAUCUAUCGUUCGUCGAGAAAAAUCUGUGGAGUGUUCUUUGAAUCCAUUCCCUGGUAAAACGAUGAAGAACAUGUCCGUCUGAGGUAAUCCGUGUCAGCAGUUUCCCUCUCGCACUGUGAUGUGGGCUCUGCCAUGCGACCUGGCUCUCUGCUUUUCAGCGGAGAAGAUCGCCAUCACUCCAAAAGUUCUGGAGCAGAUGCUCGCCAUGGCUCUGAGCUUGGUUGCUCUGGUUUAUGUGCGGAAGAAUGAACGAGCGAAAUAGAGAAUCAGCUCCAAUCGUCCUGGAGAAUUGCCAGUCUGGGAUCUUCUCCGAGGGAUGAAGAAUCUCCAUGGAGCUGGCGGUUUGGGAUGACAUUCAUGCAGGUCUGAGAGAAACCCAGUAGAUCUUGUCACAACAAAGAGGCCAAUGAAUCUCUCUCUCUCUCUCUCUCUCUUAUUGGAUGCAGCAGGAUCGACCCAUGAACACUUUUUACCAGCUGCCCAUGUCAUGCAGAUCUGAGAGAAACCCAGUAGAUCUUUUCACAACAAAGAGGUGAAGAAAAGGCUUGGACUUGUAAAUUCCCAAAUUUCUUCUUCUUCUUCUUCUUCUUCUUCUUCUUCUCUCUCAAUUCUGCUCUUCGUUUAAUCUUCAUUUUCAUCGCCUCCUCCCCUCCGCCACCCUCCCAUUUACUCUCCUGUCAUCGGAGGUGCUUCAGGAGAGAGACAGGCGAAUGAGGCUCUCUCUCUCUCGCUCUCUCUCGCUCUCUCAUUGGAUGCCGCGGGAGCAACCCAUGAACACUUUACCAACUGCCCAGUUCGUAUGAUAGAAUUCUUCUUGAUGCGUGGUUCUACGAAAUUGCAGACCAUCAUGGGUAGUCUAUGAUUAAUCUCAUCUUAUGAUAUGGCUCUGAGAGGACCUCUGGCCUCCAUUGUAUUCGUUCAACAGUUCUACCCGAGGAGAACGGUUCUCCCCGUCUUCAUCGCUCAGACAUGCUCUUGGGCCAAGAGCGAUGGAGAACAUGGAAGAACUCUGGGUCUCAUUGAUUGAUCUUCAUGGUUUCAUAGCCUGUGAUGCUGGUUACCUACACUGGCUUCGACCCUUUCUGGGUAUUUUUCUCUGUUCAUUGAUUGACUCUCUCUCUCUCUCUCUCUCUCUCUCCCUCCUGCAGAUUGCCGAGCGCCUGGAGAAGUUCAAGACGACGAUCUUCACUCAGAUGAGCUCCCUGGCGCUGAAACACGGGGCCAUCAACCUCGGGCAGGGCUUCCCCAAUUUUGACGGCCCAGACUUCGUGAAGGAGGCGGCCAUCCAGGCCAUCAGAGAAGGGAAGAACCAGUACGCGAGGGGCUACGGCGUCCCCUCCCUCAACGCCGCCAUCGCCGCCAGGUUCCAGAAGGACACCGGCCUCGCCGUUGACCCAGAGACGGAGGUCACCGUCACCUCCGGCUGCACCGAGGCCAUCGCCGCCACCAUGCUGGGCCUCGUCAACCCCGGGGACGAGGUCAUCGUCUUCGCCCCCUUCUACGACUCCUACCAGGCC
This 2021-nucleotide long non-coding RNA is filed under the name Spirodela polyrhiza (greater duckweed). Its description in RNAcentral is "long non-coding RNA (SPOL_LNC000868)". The record is from RNAcentral. Lineage: Eukaryota; Viridiplantae; Streptophyta; Magnoliopsida; Alismatales; Araceae.